This 592-nucleotide small RNA is filed under the name Histoplasma capsulatum var. duboisii H88. RNAcentral describes it as "Histoplasma capsulatum H88 hypothetical RNA". Lineage: Eukaryota; Fungi; Ascomycota; Eurotiomycetes; Onygenales; Ajellomycetaceae. The record is from RNAcentral.
GACCUCAACUUGACAUGGGGGAAUUGUCAGCAAAAUCAAAAAUUCAAUUAUUACAUCAUAGUGGUCAUUGAUCGAUUACUCUCAGAUCGAAUAGGUUUGUAUAAAACUACUUAAUAACAUAGAUAUUCACCCUCUCAACAUCUAUUGAAAAUCAACAAAUAUUUACAAUUCAUUAAGAUAACGACCUCUUUCUCAAAAAAAUAUUUUGAAAUUAAAAUCCAACCAAACUCAAAAUGAAGACCUUCUACACCUUGGCUGCUCUCAUCAUGGCCUCUAUGAUCUCUGCUACCCCCGUUGCCCAGCCGGUAGACAAUAUCGCCGCCAAGGAUGCUGUUGCUCCUGCCCGAUACUAUUUCUACGCUGUUCCACCAGCUGAAGCUGAGGGGUCUGAUUAAACGAAAACUCCGGCAUUUUCCAAUUGAAAUACAACGGUAGACUAGAAGGGAGGAAACAGAGUAUACUCUAGCUGGGUAGUUGGGGUGCGAUGGUGGGCUUGGCUGCGGGGAUACGUAUCUGUCAUAGCUUCUAUCUACAGCUGUAUUAGUUUAGCGACUAUAUGUCGGGAAUGAAUUGAAGAAGAACUAUUGAAGUA